AUGCGUCACAUGCUGGGCCUGCCCCCGCCUGGUUUAACGAAGGGGAAAAAAGCCCCGAUAUGUCACAUGACGCCAUGAUGACGCAAGUUUGACAUCCCUGUUAUAUCAUAUACUGCAUUUAUAUUUCAGGCUCUUCUUCGUGCAGUCAGAAUGCAGAAUUACCAACAUUCAUAUUAACCAAGGAUUCCACUCAGAAACUUUUGACAGCCAAAACCAAGUUAGAGAAGAUUCCUAGACCAAAAACAGUACCUUCAGAAUGGAAAAAUAGAAUAGUAGACUUUCUACUGCCAGAUCUUACCCAAACCUCACAUUCUACUUUACCUGUGCAACAAGAACAAAACCCAUCUCAAAAAUAAACUGCUAUUAUUUAGAUUUGUCAUUGACCAAGAGUGAAAACAUUACUGUGCACAUCAUUGCUGUCAGUAACUGUUAAUAAAACUUUUCUUACCAUAUUUUCUUUAAAGCUUUUGCUAUGAGAAUAAAAGAUUUUGGCUUUGUUAUGCCAUAUUGAGAUUUCAUUGUUGUUCUUUUGAAAGUUACAUAUUGUCAUUGUACAGGUAGUCCUUAAUGUAUGGCAAUUGAACCACAAAAUUUAUAUUAUUAAGAGAGAAAAUUGUUAAUGCCCCAUUUUACAACUUUUCUCACAUUUGUUAAUCACUGCAGUUCUUAAAUUAGUAACAUGGUUAUUAAGUGAAUCUAGUUUCCUCAUUGAUGUUGUCAGAAGGUUGCAAAAUGGGAUCACAUGACACCGGGACACUGCAACUGUCAUAAAUUGAGUCAAUUGUCAAGCAUCUAAUGUAAAUCACGUGUCCAUGGGGAUACUUCAAGUAAGUGUGAAAAAUUGUCAUAAGUCUCCUUUUUCAGUGCUGUUGUAACUUCGAACAGUCACUAAAUGAAGUGUUGUAGUUGAAGACUACCUGUAUAUAAUGCACAUGAAUUGUAUAAAGCUGUAGUUUCAUAUUUCUUAAGCAAAUGAUCUCUUGGGUCCCCUAAAUAAAUAAUCAAUGCCUUAUAAAAAAUACAUAGCACUGUUACAUGCUGUCAAUGUAAUGUUUAUUAGGUUGUUUAUGUAGUCUAGCUCUAAGUAACUGACUUGGACAAAAAAACAUUUUAAUAAAUGAUUUAUUAUUUUGGUAUUACGGUUGUAAAUGAUUUGCAUUUCUUCCAAUGACAACACCACAUAUGAAGUACAUAAUAUCUAUACAUUCCAUUCCCUAUGCAGUUCAUUUGCAUAUGAGAGUUCUGAGAACAAUCCAGAUAAAGAAUGAAAAUCGCAAUUUACUAUCUAAAGAAUUAAGGUCCACAUGAUCAGUUAUUCUAUACAGGUGAUUGCUUUAAAAACAAAUAAUAUGCUGAAUUUCAAACAACCAGCAAAGUGAUAAAAAUCAAUUCAUACUAAUUCAGAAGUAAUGGCAUUAUACUGAAAACAAAGUUUUAUCUAUCUAAAUCUAGAUGGUAAAGAAUUUAAAUAUGCGAAUAACAGGGAAGCCCCUUAAUGUGUCCACUGUAGUUUGGUAGAUUACAGAUGAAGCUGGUUUAGAAAAUCAAAUCUACUGUCACUGCAUGAAAUUGUUAAAAAUGCCCUAGUAAUUAAACGUAUAGCUUUAUGCCA
Molecule: non-coding RNA, 1612 nt
Organism: Notechis scutatus (mainland tiger snake)
Lineage: Eukaryota; Metazoa; Chordata; Lepidosauria; Squamata; Elapidae
Source: RefSeq, a predicted model, not a curated record